Long non-coding RNA from Carassius gibelio (silver crucian carp), 461 nucleotides. RefSeq lists it as uncharacterized. The record is from RefSeq and is a predicted model, not a curated record. NCBI's taxonomy places the organism in Eukaryota, Metazoa, Chordata, Actinopteri, Cypriniformes, Cyprinidae. The transcript is spliced from 2 exons.
GCAAAUAAGAGUAAAUAACGUCUGCAAACAUUCGCUAUCUGACCGUCCAUAACAAAAUGAUGAUUUGACCUUACUGUAGCACUGCGCAUGCGCGUCACAGUUCCAGAAAAAAGAAAACAAAGCCCCUCGUUUCCUCGACCGCAGAAGACCCGGCAUAGCUGUCUUUUGCACAAGUAGCGCUUCCUCUGAAGACGGCAUUCGUAUUUUGGAGGACAUUUCUCCCAUUCUGUUUUGGACAAAAUUACGCCAAAUCAAACGAACUGAAGUCCGAGCGACCAUGAGCACAAACACGCAGCACGCGAUGCACUUGUGUAACGACUGCACUAAGCGCAUGCUCGUUACUUAACGGUUAUAUAUUGUAAAUACGUAAGCGUGCAUUAAUCAAAUCUUACCUGUAGUUAUAGUUACCUUUAACCUUGUGCUCCCUGAUCAUUAUGGUGUGUUUGAGGACAUUUCUUCCU